This 478-nucleotide ribosomal RNA is filed under the name uncultured bacterium. RNAcentral's name for it is "partial 16S ribosomal RNA". It matches the Rfam family "Bacterial small subunit ribosomal RNA", at positions 28 to 507 of the family's 1533-position model. The record is from RNAcentral.
GAUGAACGCUGGCGGCGUGCUUAACACAUGCAAGUCGAACGGGAAAUAUUUCAUUGAGACUUCGGUGGAUUUGAUUUAUUUCUAGUGGCGGACGGGUGAGUAACGCGUGGGUAACCUGCCUUAUACAGGGGGAUAACAGUCAGAAAUGGCUGCUAAUACCGCAUAAGCGCACAGAGCUGCAUGGCUCAGUGUGAAAAACUCCGGUGGUAUAAGAUGGACCCGCGUUGGAUUAGCUAGUUGGUGGGGUAACGGCCCACCAAGGCGACGAUCCAUAGCCGGCCUGAGAGGGUGAACGGCCACAUUGGGACUGAGACACGGCCCAGACUCCUACGGGAGGCAGCAGUGGGGAAUAUUGCACAAUGGGGGAAACCCUGAUGCAGCGACGCCGCGUGAAGGAAGAAGUAUCUCGGUAUGUAAACUUCUAUCAGCAGGGAGGGUAGUGACGGUACCUGACUAAGAAGCCCCGGCUAACUACGUG